GGAGAGGUGCCAGAGUGGCCGAAUGGGGUUGAUUCGAAAUCAACUGACGAGGAGACUCGUCCCAGGGUUCCCAUCCCUGCCUCUCCGCCA
This 90-nucleotide transfer RNA is filed under the name Gammaproteobacteria bacterium. Its description in RNAcentral is "tRNA-Ser". It matches the Rfam family "tRNA". From Rfam's summary of the family: Transfer RNA (tRNA) molecules are approximately 80 nucleotides in length. Lineage: Bacteria; Pseudomonadati; Pseudomonadota; Gammaproteobacteria. The record is from RNAcentral.